Molecule: ribosomal RNA, 458 nt
Filed under: uncultured bacterium
Lineage: Bacteria
Description: bacterial SSU rRNA
Rfam family: Bacterial small subunit ribosomal RNA
Source: RNAcentral
UACGGGAGGCAGCAGUGGGGAAUAUUGCACAAUGGGCGAAAGCCUGAUGCAGCUAUGCCGCGUGUAUGAAGAAGGCCUUAGGGUUGUAAAGUACUUUCAUCGGGGAGGAAAAACAAAACUAAUAAUUUUAUUUCUUGACGUUACCCGAAAAAGAAGCACCGGCUAACUCCGUGCCAGCAGCCGCGGUAAUACGGAGGGUGCUAGCGUUAAUCAGAAUUACUGGGCGUAAAGAGCACGUAGGUGGUUUUUUUAAGUCAGAUGUGAAAUCCCUGGGCUUAACCUAGGAACUGCAUUUUGAAACUGAAAUACUAGAGUAUCGUAGAGGGAGGUAGAAUUCUAGGUGUAGCGGUGAAAUGCGUAGAUAUCUGGAGGAAUACCUGUGGCGAAAGCGGCCUCCUAAAACGAAUAACUGACACUGAGGUGCGAAAAGCGUGGGGAGCAAACAGGGAUUAGAUACC